Triplophysa rosa is the source of this 683-nucleotide long non-coding RNA. RefSeq lists it as uncharacterized. The transcript is spliced from 4 exons. The record is from RefSeq and is a predicted model, not a curated record. NCBI's taxonomy places the organism in Eukaryota, Metazoa, Chordata, Actinopteri, Cypriniformes, Nemacheilidae.
UCACCUUAAACCAUGGUGCGUGUUCAAGUGUGCAUUUUUACCGUAAACAAAAUAGAUUCACGUGUUGCUACUCCACAUGCCCUUGCUGUCACAAAACUAGAAGUUUUGAGAGUACAGAAAUGGUUGCUCAGAGGGUGUGAAAGGCAUGAUUCUUCUACCUCUCUCCUGUUUUGAUGAGAAAGAGGAGCUCCUACAUUAUGUAGAAGAGACAAGCCUGGCAAAGGAUGUGGAGUUAGAAAACCUGCCUGUGACGCCUUGCAUUAUUGUGUGUGUGGACCCCCCUGCUAUGCUGCUGUCCGAUUCAUGCUAGCUGUGGACCGCAAGAUUGUGAAUGAUGACAUCACUUCCUUCAUCUCUGCUGUUUGCCUAAUGUUCGGCAGUUAUUACUGCUCCAACAUUAACUACCCUACUGAACUGGCGUCAGUGCUUGAAUUCCUGCAAAGGUGUUUUUUCAUCAUCAAUCCGGAGAAAGGGACUAAAGGAGGUGGAAAAGAAAAACAAAAAGCUACUCCCAGUUAACCCAAGAGUCUUCACCCUAAUCGCUGACCUUUCUGAUCAUGAAUGGCGAGAGACUUUGUAAAGGUGGCCUGCAGACUGUUUCCAAGUUUAUAAUCUCUUAAAGGGUUAUUUCAGGCUUGAAUCAAAUUUUCCCCAUGUUUUACUUACCCUCAAGGCAUCCUAAG